UUUUUUUCCUUAUGUU
RNAcentral lists this small RNA (16 nucleotides) under Arabidopsis thaliana (thale cress). Its description in RNAcentral is "ATSL130930". The record is from RNAcentral. Lineage: Eukaryota; Viridiplantae; Streptophyta; Magnoliopsida; Brassicales; Brassicaceae.